Molecule: ribosomal RNA, 253 nt
Filed under: uncultured bacterium
Lineage: Bacteria
Description: partial 16S ribosomal RNA
Rfam family: Bacterial small subunit ribosomal RNA
Source: RNAcentral
UACAUAGGUCUCAAGCGUUGUUCGGAUUCAUUGGGCGUAAAGGGUGCGUAGGCGGCGCUGUAAGUCGGUUGUGAAAUUUCGGAGCUUAACUCCGAAACUGCAUUCGAUACUGCGGUGCUUGAGGACUGGAGAGGAGACUGGAAUUCAUGGUGUAGCAGUGAAAUGCGUAGAGAUCAUGAGGAAGACCAGUGGCGAAGGCGGGUCUCUGGACAGUUCCUGACGCUGAGGCACGAAGGCCAGGGGAGCAAACGGG